CACGGCUCAGCUGCUGGAGAGCGAGGCGGCCGCGUUCCCACGGUGUAACGGUCAGCACUCUGGACUCUGAACCCAGCGAUCCGAGUUCGAGUCUCGGUGGGACCUUUCCCUUUAGGCCGCACGCAGGGUCUUUUACCAGCGCAGCCGGAUCUCAGUCUCCUGAAAGCGACCUGCGCCUCAGGUGCGCGCUGAGUGGGCCUACUCUCCCGCCCCAGCGCCCAGCUCGUCCUGCUCUGGGGACCAGAAGGUCUGGGUCCCGCGAAGGAGGCCCUGGGCCCCCGUGCUCUGCCGCCUCCCGCUCAGCAGCCGAGGUCCGAAACCUGCUGCUCUGAGCAGCGCAGGGCCCUGGACCGCGGGGAGGUGGGGGACGAGCCCGCGGCAGCCCCGCAGGACCCUGCGGCUCUGCGGGUCAAUGGUCAUCGGAGGCCCGGCCCCGCCGCCAAAGGGCGCAGCGACCGAAGCUCUGCCACCCCCUGUCGGGUCACCCUGGGUCUCGAGAAUUUCUCGCUCCUAAGCCUCCUUUGGACACGGAAAACCGCUGUUAGGCUAAGACUUGAACCUUGACUCCAGGAAAUCUUGUCCUUUCAUCCCAAACUCAGCCAGAAAGAGGAGUCUGGGCGGUGUAUUCCAGCUUCUGAGAUCAGGGGUCGGUCACCCACGCCUUUGAGGCGCUUGCAGAUCUUAUAGUCAGGGCCAGAAUAGUGAAUAUAUUCUAUGUAGUUAGAUUAGAGUUGGAAACAGCAUUCACCUUUUUAUCAUUAUAAAAUUGACUUUUUAAAUGUCACUUCUAGACAUUGGAAGAACGAUGUAACUUUGUGGAACAACCACAUAGAUGAAAACUAUAAAACAGUAUAAUUUAUAUGUACCCUGAACAGUGAC
This 879-nucleotide transfer RNA is filed under the name Capra hircus (goat). RNAcentral describes it as "lncRNA (ENSCHIG00000003898.1)". The stretch from base 34 to 105 matches the Rfam family "tRNA". Lineage: Eukaryota; Metazoa; Chordata; Mammalia; Artiodactyla; Bovidae. The record is from RNAcentral.